RNAcentral lists this transfer RNA (84 nucleotides) under Echinostoma caproni. It matches the Rfam family "tRNA". From Rfam's summary of the family: Transfer RNA (tRNA) molecules are approximately 80 nucleotides in length. Their secondary structure includes four short double-helical elements and three loops (D, anti-codon, and T loops). Lineage: Eukaryota; Metazoa; Platyhelminthes; Trematoda; Plagiorchiida; Echinostomatidae. The record is from Rfam by way of RNAcentral.
GGCCUCGUAGCUCAGCUGGUAGAGUGUGCGCUGUAUUAAAGCGUACGCGGUGUCCAGGUGUGCGUUCGAAUCCCACCGAGGCUA